Molecule: transfer RNA, 74 nt
Filed under: Rhoptropella ocellata (Namaqua day gecko)
Lineage: Eukaryota; Metazoa; Chordata; Lepidosauria; Squamata; Gekkonidae
Description: tRNA-Asn
Source: RNAcentral
UAGAUUGAAGCCCGCUGGCUGGGGUAUUUAGUUGUUAAUUAAAAUUUUACGGGAUCGAGGCCCGUCAAUCUAGG